ACGAAAUGUUGGUGCUUUGUGAGCUGUACCCGCCGCUUUGUCGGCAUACCUAUUCAUUGCCUUUUGUAUCAGAGUGGCCGGGGACCCACAAUAAUUUUUUGGUGAACAUAAGAAGAUUCCUUAUUUUAUUUACAACUGAGACGUGUAGUUGAUGUUUAGGACAGCGUUUAUAACUGAUAUGCUGUCAGUUGUUAUUAUGAAUUUCCCACGUUUUGUGCAUACAUUUUUAGCAGCUUCUAAUAUUGUAACUGCUUCUGCUGUGAAGAUCGACGCUUGUUCGCAGAGUAGGCCCGUGCUUACCAGUGAUCCGUUCUCACGAAUAACAGCAAAAGAGACGCUUUCACAUGUUUUGGAACCGUGCAUCGGUCGCACAGUCAGAUAUCUCCUAAGCAGAUUCAAUUCCUAUUCUUAUUUAAAACAAUUGUUAAAAUUUUGUUAUAUUAAAUGCCAUAUUUUUUGGAUCCCAUACAAUUUAUCGAAAAAAUUUAUUCAUGAAUUUCAGCGAUUCAAUGAAAAAUUCACACCAUCGUUUUCAACUAUAGAUUGGUCAUAAUUUAGUGCGCGGAAAAAAACGAAGAUAAAAAUGUCAGCUUUAAUAAUUUAUUUGCACUGUGAAUAGAUGAAUGCUUUUAUUGAUGUUGCCUUUUUCUUUAUUUUUUUUUAUUUAGGUCUCUUGAUAGAUACCAUUUGUGCCAAGCCCGCCCUAUGGAAUAUAAAAGACGUCGGUUAUAAAGAUCGUGCUUUCAGGAACUAUUGUGGAUGGAAGUUCUUUUUGAGUUAGGUAGGUAUGUUUUAAGCUAGAUCCACACUAGGUUGAUCAACACGUUCAAUAUACGUUCCAAAUCGAUAUAUACAAAUUUAUGUAGGUACAUAUAUAAAAGUUAAAAAUUCAGAUAUUAUAUAUCAGGGUUUGAAUUACGGCAUACGUUCGUUAUCGUAUCGUUGCUAUAUGUCCCUAUCUUUUUCUACUAAAUAAAUAGAGACAGAAAUAAUCCAAACGUUAACGUAUGAUCGUAAUCGUGUGCUGUAAUUCGACCCCAGACUGAAAUGACGAAUACAAAACUACACUAGGUUGAUCAACACGUUCAAUAUACGUUCCAAAUCGAUAUAUACAAAUUUAUGUAGGUACAUAUAUAAAAGUUAAAAAUUCAGAUAUUAUAUAUCAGGGUUUGAAUUACGGCAUACGUUCGUUAUCGUAUCGUUGCUAUAUGUCCCUAUCCUUUUCUACUAAAUAAAUAGAGACAGAAAUAAUCCAAACGUUAACGUAUGAUCGUAAUCGUGUGCUGUAAUUCGACCCAGACUGAAAUGACGAAUACAAAACCACCACAACUACAAGUAUGCGGUACCAUUGUCAUUCUUAGAUGACACUAGGGAACCUAGAAAAACAACGACGUUGAUGACAUCUGCCGAUACUGAGACGGCAAGUGGGGUUUCAGAGAAAACCACUUCGAAAAUAAAAAAUCCACUAAAGUCAAUGCAGCAAAUUUUCCAGCAAGAGGCACUUACCAUCCUCAAAGACAUUAAUACACCAAAGCCACAACAACCACAAGAAAAAUCUUUUACUGCAUUGACAUGCGAGUUUAUAAAGAAAUAUAUGGAGGCGUUGCCAGAUUCGGACCAAUGGUCAUUAAAGCUGAAACACAAUCACGCUUUAGGGCGUCGCUUCGUUGCGUUACGUUGAGAAUCUUCAAAGCGCGCUUCUGUCACUUUGACUUUGAACAGCUGAUUGCAACAUAAAAUCUGCUGUCAAAUAAAAAAAAAACUAAACAAUUAUUCAUACAGCUGAAAUUUUUUUUUCACCUCAAUAGUGUCAAAAAUUUUACACGGUGUUAACUAUUUAACGCAAUUCACACACGGCCUUGAGUUCAGGUGGCCUGCGUUGAACGCGGGGAAUAUAACAUAGAUCCCAUCUUUCUACAAAUUUGACACUGCCUAAAAAUCUAGAUAUAAAUUUUAAGAAUAUAAGUGCUUUCAGCUUGGAAAUCGGUUAAAACAGAAAAAAGUUAUACGCAUAAAACUUUGAACGUCUUUCCUGAAAAAAAAAACAGUUAUGAUAGAAAAGAAAAAGACAGAUUGCUUAAAAGCCCAAUGGAAAUACAGUCAAACUUCGAUAACUCGAAUUUUGUAUAACUCGAACAGAAGUAUGUGGCAGCACCGUUAGAGUUCAUAUCUCAUAGGUUUUUUUUCCUCAUAGUUCGAGCUUUUAUAACUCGAUUUUCUCUAUAACUCGAACAAAAAAUAUGGCCUAUGCAUCAAUUAAGUCGAAUGAUUUGUGGGAAUUCCCAUUUAAUGAAACAAAAUAAAAAAAAACAUCACGUAUUCAUUUGAAAUUCGAGUUUUGAAAAGAAUUAUCUUUUGAUAACAGAACAUUUUGAGGGAAUUCCCAUUUUAAGAAAAAAAAAAUUAAAAUAUCACAUGUGCAUUUGAAAUUCGAAUUUUUAAAGCGAAUUUUCAUAUAAAAAUGAAUACCUACAUACAACCACACAUAUUUAUUACAUGUUUCGUUGCUGUUUCGAAGUUGUAAGUAGCACACAUUUGUAUUUCAUCCAAAAGCACAAAAUAUAUAUGUACCUACCUAUGUAUGUAGGUAUUUAAAAUAUUGAAUUGCCUAGUUUUUUUUUAAAUUUUAAUCAACAAUUUGGAUAACUCGAAGUCUUGAUAAGUCGAACUUUUAUAGUGGAUAAUAGAAGUUCGAUUUAUCGAAGUUUGACUGUAUAUUAGACUGAUUCAAAAAAAAAUUUUUUUUUGUUCAAAGCAUUGUUGAAAAUAUUGUUGGAAAUGACGAAAAAAAAAAAUACUGUAAAAGUUUCAGCCCUUAAUGUUAACAUUUAGUACAUUUAGACCUCUAAGGCACUUUUCGCUAAUUUUGAAGUGUCCUCAGGGUCAUUUUCCGGGAUAAAGCGCCAUAAAAGCGGCGAAUUUUCUUCGGCAUAUGUAACGCUAACGUGAAAUGGUACAGGAUAAUAUCUUUGUACAAAUUCUGGUCCAUUUUGGGGUUUAUCUUCACUAUUGGACCAACACCGUGCCAAAAAAAGGCAGCCUAUACUAUCGCGUUUUCACCACCUUGCUUAACUGCCUUAAUGGUGUACUUUCAAGGAUUGCUUCUGAAAUGGAUUUCCAGCUACCUUUAUAAAAGAACACAAUGUGUGAAAUUGGGGAAAUUCUUCUCCAAUAUCAUACAAGCUUCAUCAGGAGUUCCACAAGGUAGCCAUCUGGGACCACUUCGUUCCAAUAUAUUUGUUAAUGAUAUCCCAUCUCUUCCUGAAAAUGCAUCUUGUGUGAUGUAUGCUGAUGACAUGAACAUUUUUCUUUGUAUCAAAAAUAGAAUUGAUCAGCAAAAUCUUCAAAAUGACUUAAAUGUUUUAUCUGAUUGGUGUGAUAGGAAUAUCCUUCCAUUAAAUAUAACAAAAUGUAAUGUGUUUACGGCACAUCGUAUUUUAGUUCCAAUGAUCCACAACUACCAUAAUGUUCAACCAGAUUCUUGAUCGCAAAUCUGAGAUUCGUGAUCUUGGAGUCAUUUUUGAUCCAAAAUUGUCUUUUUCGUUACAUAUAGACUAUGUAAUUGCAAGGGCUAAUUCAAUGCUUGGUUUCGUCAAGCGAAACUGCAGCGAGUUUUCUAACCCUUAUGCUCUGAAAUCAGUGUACAUGUCAUUAGUUUGUCCGAUCCUUGAAUAUUGUUCAAUUGUUUGGUGUCCUUCUACUUCUAUUGGGAUAACUCGUAUUGAAAGAGUUCAAAAGGCUUUCAUAAGAUUCGUAGUUAGGCAACUGAAAUGGAGAAUAGAUACUCCAAGAUAUGCUUUGAUUGGACUUGAUUCUUUACAAAAAAGGCGUACUGUUCAGUGUGUACUGUUUGUCCAUGAUGUAUUUUCAUACCGUAUCAAAUGCCCACAGAUAAUUUAUAAUUUUGAAAUCUAUAUUCCGGUGAGAAGAUUGCGUCUUCGUUAUUUCUUUAACAAUCCUAAAUAUAGAUGUAAUUAUGGUUGCAACGAACCAUUUUCUAGAUUCAUAAAAUUUUUCAACACUAUAUGUAAUUAGGCUUGUGUAGUUCGCGAACGAACUAGUUCAAUGAACUAAGUCAUUUUGGUGAACUAUGGAACUAAGUUCACUUACUUAGUUCAAUUUAGUUCGCUGUUAGCAAAGAAGAUUUUUUCAACAAAAUAAAAAGCAACCUAGAGCAGUCGUAAUAUGACAUGACUGAACAGCUUGCGAUCACCUUACACCAUAAUUAUUAAUGUUUAUGAGUUCUUUGGGCGAAAGGAAGUCCCAUAUGUACAAGGAAUUUUCAAAUGUUGUCACCAACAGCACCCUUCUUUUAGACCGACGAACGUUUAAAGAAUAGUGGUUCAGACACUAAAGUGCAUAUGAAACUGCAUCCAAUCCUUUGCGGAGCGAAAUCGGUUCAUCUGCUCUACUUAAAGAUUUAGAUGUAAAAGUGCACAAAGUCGCUUAUGCAAGUUUCAGCUUACAGCGUUUCUGCUUCAAGCACCACUACUCUAAUUUCUGAGUAAGAACAAAAAACAAUAUAAUAAAAGCAAAACGAUCUUCUCCUACACUUCCAGGAGAAAUCGGAAAACUUGACAAGUUAUGGACAAAAUUAAGAAUUUUUAUAAGAAAUAAAAUGUUUAUCUAUUAUUUUUAACUUGAUGUUUGUAUUAUAUGUAGAGUACUUAAAUUUUACACAAAUUUGGAUACAUUUUGAAAAAAGUACCUAAUUUUGUUUUUUUAAUUCCAACAAAAACGGAGUCAUUGAAAUAAAUUGAACUAGUUAGGAACUAUAUCAGUAGCGUGAUUUGAACUAAAAUGAUCGAUCACUCAGAUGAACUAAAGUGCCCAACUCUAUAUGUAAUGAACUUGAUUUUUCUACGAACAGAUGUGAAUUUAAAAUCCAAUUGCAAAGCAUAUUAUAAAUUAGC
Molecule: long non-coding RNA, 4913 nt
Organism: Episyrphus balteatus (marmalade hoverfly)
Lineage: Eukaryota; Metazoa; Arthropoda; Insecta; Diptera; Syrphidae
Exons: 3
Source: RefSeq, a predicted model, not a curated record